Molecule: long non-coding RNA, 679 nt
Organism: Zalophus californianus (California sea lion)
Lineage: Eukaryota; Metazoa; Chordata; Mammalia; Carnivora; Otariidae
Exons: 3
Source: RefSeq, a predicted model, not a curated record
CGCUCAGGGCGGCGCUUAGAGGCCCAGGAAAGGCGGCGGCCGAGGUCAUCCCGGGAGUGGAAGGCAACGCUGAACAGUAGGCACGGAGGCCGGAGGCGCGGUCCGACGUGGCUGCAGAAGCCAGACGGAGCCGAUCGAGGAGCGACAAACACAUUGAUGCCAGAUUAGGAGGGCCUGGGGAGCCACGCUCAGGAGAAUAAGCAAGACCAUCUGUGUUAUGUGUCAGACUCUAGUGCAUGAGCAAGAAUAUCGUUGGCUGUCUUCUACUCCACUGGCUUCAAUACAUGGCCAAUCUUGCUUCAUCUAGAAUCCCACCCACUUCCUCUACACUUGGAAUAUUUUGGAGCACAUGCCAGAUGGCGGAUUAUUUCAUCAGUAAAUAUUUCAGUAAAUAUCUCUAAAAGAUAAGGCGACUUUUCAAAAUGAAGAUGACCAUGAUACCUUUAGCACAUUUAAAAACAUUUUAGCAGUUCCAUAAUGUCAUCAAAUAGCCAAUCAAUGUCUACAUCUCCCUGAUUUUGCUUAUAUGUCUCCUAAGUGGUUUUUGCUUGGACCGAAAUCCAAACGAAGUCCACAAGUUACAACCAGUUGAUGUGCCUCUUAAUUUACUUGAAAGAUCCAUUAAAGUAGGAGUCAGCACCUACCCACUAACUACCACCCAUUGCCUGUUUGUGUGUGG